UACGUAGGGUGCGAGCGUUGUCCGGAAUUAUUGGGCGUAAAGAGCUCGUAGGCGGUGUGUCGCGUCGGCCGUGAAAACCUGCAGCUUAACUGUGGGCUUGCGGUCGAUACGGGCAUCACUGGAGUUCGGCAGGGGAGACUGGAAUUCCUGGUGUAGCGGUGAAAUGCGCAGAUAUCAGGAGGAACACCGGUGGCGAAGGCGGUUCUCUGGGCAUGAUCUGACGCUGAGGAGCGAAAGUGUGGGGAGCGAACAGG
This 254-nucleotide ribosomal RNA is filed under the name uncultured bacterium. RNAcentral describes it as "partial 16S ribosomal RNA". It matches the Rfam family "Bacterial small subunit ribosomal RNA", at positions 524 to 776 of the family's 1533-position model. The record is from RNAcentral.